Myotis davidii is the source of this 91-nucleotide long non-coding RNA. RefSeq lists it as uncharacterized. The record is from RefSeq and is a predicted model, not a curated record. The transcript is spliced from 3 exons. NCBI's taxonomy places the organism in Eukaryota, Metazoa, Chordata, Mammalia, Chiroptera, Vespertilionidae.
AGAGACCAAGGAACACUUAUUAACAUGUAUACCUGCUGCACAUAUGGGAGAGUCCCAGGAACACUUAUUAACAUGUAUACCUCCUGCACAC